UUUCGGCAUUAACUAUUUUACUUAUGGUUUUCCAGAACCAAAGGGUUGGAGUGAACCUUUAGAUUUCCUUGCUUGCUCUUUCCUUUUGGAGUUUCCACUUUGCGAGUCUCUAUGCAUUUGGACUUCUUGGGUAUGAUCAUGGGUGCAGUAGCUUCAACUGACAAGACUUGUACAGGUCUGGAGCAGGUCAAUCAAGAAGCUCUGCUGGAAUUAAACUGACAAGUAAUUGUAGUAUGCUUGUAGUUGAAGUUUCUUAUAGUGAACAUCAUGUUGUUUAUUCGGCAGAAGUUUCAAAGAUUUUACUUUUUAGAAGAAAGUGUAUUGUACUCAUUAGAUUGGGUUUCCAAAGAUUGAUUAUGUUAACAUUUUGAACAAAUGAAAAGUUCUCUUAUUAAUGUUUUUGAACUCAAAAACAAUUUAAAA
Long non-coding RNA from Gossypium arboreum, 423 nucleotides. RefSeq lists it as uncharacterized. Lineage: Eukaryota; Viridiplantae; Streptophyta; Magnoliopsida; Malvales; Malvaceae. The record is from RefSeq and is a predicted model, not a curated record. The transcript is spliced from 4 exons.